Molecule: small nuclear RNA, 23 nt
Filed under: Arabidopsis thaliana (thale cress)
Lineage: Eukaryota; Viridiplantae; Streptophyta; Magnoliopsida; Brassicales; Brassicaceae
Description: snRNA_04423
Source: RNAcentral
GAGAGAGAGGGCACUUUGCCAUC